AUAUGCAAUUGAAAACGUGUAGGU
This 24-nucleotide non-coding RNA is filed under the name Arabidopsis thaliana (thale cress). The record is from RNAcentral. Lineage: Eukaryota; Viridiplantae; Streptophyta; Magnoliopsida; Brassicales; Brassicaceae.